RNAcentral lists this long non-coding RNA (1407 nucleotides) under Malus domestica (apple). RNAcentral describes it as "long non-coding RNA (MDOM_LNC002216)". Lineage: Eukaryota; Viridiplantae; Streptophyta; Magnoliopsida; Rosales; Rosaceae. The record is from RNAcentral.
GAGUGCGCCGUACCUCGUAUAGAGCAGUAGGGUUUCUUUUUAUCUUUUGAUCAUCCUUGUUCUCAAAUGUUUAGAACAGAUGGUGGGUAUUCCAAGAACCCUUCUGUUCCUCGAAAAGAAGAGAGUCAAAUGCAAACCCUAAUUUCCCUUUCAGAUCACGACGCUUUACGUCGAAUCGAAUCCAUGAUUUACCAGAAAAAGAUCCCUUGUGUUUGUACUCGUCGAGAAUAAUAUUGCAACUAUUCAUUCUGCGUGCAUCAAGGAGACCGUGAUUCCGAAGUUUGAUCAUGUAAGUUCUAAUUCAGAUGCUGUUGUUUCCAUUUUGCUUUUGGGAGUAUUAGGGUAUUAACUAGUAUAAGAAUUCAUUUGGAGGAAUCAAAAUAUGUCAGAUUUUUGGUUAUGUGAUUUGUAACAUGAUCCCUAAUAUAGAUAACUUAUAUAAACUGAUGCAGGCAGUGAAUGGUUUGCUCAGGGGAGGAGGGACCUCGAGUUCAAGCGAGGAUCUGCAUGUGUUUGAAGGAGGAGUGGUGGGGCUGCUACCGUUUCCGCCGUCGAAGAAGCGGUAUCGGAGGAAGUUUACUGUGGAGCAGAAAGAGAGGAUGAGGGUGGAGGAUUCAGAAGCUGGCUGAGAAAAAAGUGGAGUGAUUUGGGUGGAGGUUUGGAAUUAAGAAGCAGGAGCUUAGCUAGGGUUUGGAUGCACAACAAGAAGUGAGAUUUGGGAAUGUGGAGGGAGAGGAAGGGGAAGUAGCUGAUCAAGAUUAAGGGGGCGUUUGUUGCGCCAGAUUAUCUCGGACUGGACUAGCUUCAAGGACUAAGCUGGACUGGCUUAGACUAGACUAAGCUGGACUAACUUAAUGAAGCGUUUGGUGCAGUGUUGGACUAAGAAGCUGGAUAAUAACAAAUUCUAAUAUUAUAUUAUUUAAUAUAUAAAUUAUUAAUAUUUUAUUAUGAUCUAGGUGACCGGAGAUGACGAGGAGUCUAUCGGGAGUGGUUGUUGAGCAUGACGAUGACGAGAGAUGAUAGUCUUAGCUAGUCCUAUGGUUAUUGGGGGGUCUCGCUAAGACCUCUUAGUGAAGGGUUUUGUCCAUGCUAGUCCCCUUUAGUCUCAUUAAUGUUAGUCCCAGUAUGGAACAAACACAGUAUUUGACUAACAGCUAGUCCAGUCCAGUCCCACUUAGUGAGGGUACUGACAAAGAAUUAAGAGGGUUAAUUAAGUGAGAUUUGUAAAAGUUCAUAAUGUGUAAUACCCUUUUAAUUAUCGAAUCAAUGAUUUACCAAAUGAUUGUAACCUUUCAAUUAUGUAAUAACAUAUCAGUUUUUCAUUUGGAACUAGCAUAUGGGCACGCAGAAAAUAUGUGUGAAAGUUUUUUAUUUCUGUUUUUAAAAUGGGAGGAGAAAGGAAGAGAG